GGAGAGGGAGCGUGAGAAACGGCUACCACAUCCAAGGAAGGCAGCAGGCGCGCAAAUUACCCAAUCUAGACAGUAGGAGGUGGUGAAGAGAAGUACUGAGUGGUGGCCAAAUGGUUACCAACUUGGAAUGAACGUAAUUUAAGUAAUUCGAUGAGUAACUACUGGAGGGCAAGUCCUGGUGCCAGCAGCCGCGGUAAUUCCAGCUCCAGUGGCGUGAUUUAAAGUUGCUGCGUUUAAAACGCUCGUAGUUGGAUCAUGCAGUCGUAUUCAGUAAUCUAGGUUGGCAUAUGCGACGAUUUUCCCGAAUGGGAUUAUUGAAGCUUUGCCAUUUUAGAUGUUAACGCUGAAUGCGGCUAUUUGCACACAAGUAUGGUAUUUGACCUUAAAUGAGCCGAGUAUCAUGUCUUGUGGAGUGUGCCUUGAAUAAAACAGAGUGCUCAAAGCAGGCGAACGCUUGAAUGUUAUAGCAUGGAACGAACAAACGUGUAUUUGUGUACGUUAAGUAAUGGCUGAGGGCAACCUUAGCUAUUGCUGGCGUAUGCAGCACCCACCAAAACACGGAUGUUGGUUUUCGUAUAAGGUGAUGAUUAACAGGAGCGGUUGGGGGCAUUGGUAUUUGGCCGCGAGAGGUGAAAUUCUUGGACCGGCCAAGGACUAACAGAUGCGAAGGCGUUUGUCUAGACCGUUUCCAUUAAUCAAGAACGAAAGUGGGAGGUUCGAAGACGAUCAGAUACCGUCGUAGUUCCCACUAUAAACUAUGCCGACCUGGGAUCAGUUUAGUGAUUUACAAGCUCUAGGUUGGUCCCCCUGGGAAACCUCAAGUUUUUCGGUUACGGGGAGAGUAUGGUCGCAAGUCUGAAACUUAAAGGAAUUGACGGAAGGGCACCACCAGGGGUGGAGCCUGCGGCUUAAUUUGACUCAACACGGGGAAACUUACCUGGUCCGGACAUCGAGAGGAUAUACAGACUGAUAGAUCUUUAUUGAUGCGGUGAGUGGUGGUGCAUGGCCGUUCUUAGUUCGUGGAGUAAUCUGUCAGCUUUAUUGCGGUAACGAACGAGACCACCUUCUCCAUUUAAGAAGCAGUAGUAGGAGGUUGGCAGAGUGCUGUUUCGGCAGUAUUCUGUUAGCUUUCGCAGGUAGGAUUGUAGAAUUUUGUGAUUCAUGUGGGUGGCAACAUUCGCAUGGGUCAUAAAAGGAUAUGAUUUUCCCCACGGUUAUACAGCGUAGGGUAAUAC
Molecule: ribosomal RNA, 1235 nt
Filed under: Myxobolus dykovae
Lineage: Eukaryota; Metazoa; Cnidaria; Myxozoa; Bivalvulida; Myxobolidae
Description: SSU rRNA
Rfam family: Eukaryotic small subunit ribosomal RNA
Source: RNAcentral